GCGCCCGAUCUCGUCUGAUCUCGGAAGUU
This 29-nucleotide ribosomal RNA is filed under the name Sinocyclocheilus anshuiensis. The record is from RNAcentral. Lineage: Eukaryota; Metazoa; Chordata; Actinopteri; Cypriniformes; Cyprinidae.